Molecule: ribosomal RNA, 474 nt
Filed under: uncultured bacterium
Lineage: Bacteria
Description: bacterial SSU rRNA
Rfam family: Bacterial small subunit ribosomal RNA
Source: RNAcentral
CGAGACGCUGGCGGCGUGCCUAACACAUGCAAGUCGAGCGGGGUUGAAGCGAGAGGUAACUCGAACUUCUACCUAGCGGCGGACGGGUGAGUAACGCGUGGGCAACCUGCCUCAAGGUUUGGGAUAACAGCCCGAAAGGGCUGCUAAUACCGGAUAUGCCUAUGGCCUCGCAUGGGGCUAUGAGCAAAGGGGAAACCCGCCUUGAGAUGGGCCCGCGUCCCAUCAGCUAGUUGGUGAGGUAACAGCUCACCAAGGCGACGACGGGUAGCCGGCCUGAGAGGGUGACCGGCCACACUGGGACUGAGACACGGCCCAGACUCCUACGGGGGGCAGCAGUGGGGGAUCUUGCACAAUGGGCGAAAGCCUGAUGCAGCGACGCCGCGUGAGCGAAGAAGGCCUUCGGGUUGUAAAGCUCUGUCUGGAGGGACGAACAAAAUGACGGUACCUCCGGAGGAAGCCACGGCUAACUACGUG